This 234-nucleotide ribosomal RNA is filed under the name uncultured bacterium. RNAcentral's name for it is "partial 16S ribosomal RNA". It matches the Rfam family "Bacterial small subunit ribosomal RNA", at positions 118 to 354 of the family's 1533-position model. The record is from RNAcentral.
UGAGAAACCUGCCCCGAAGUCCGGAAUAACCCUCCGAAAGGAGAGCUAAUACCGGAUACCCCCACCGCAUCGCAUGGUGUGGUGAGGAAAGGAUCCCGCUUUGGGAGGGUCUCGCGGCCUAUCAGCUUGUUGGUGGGGUAACGGCCUACCAAGGCGUCGACGGGUAGCUGGUCUGAGAGGACGAUCAGCCACACUGGGACUGAGACACGCCAGACCUCCGUACGGGAGCAGCAG